This 468-nucleotide ribosomal RNA is filed under the name uncultured bacterium. Its description in RNAcentral is "partial 16S ribosomal RNA". It matches the Rfam family "Bacterial small subunit ribosomal RNA", at positions 28 to 507 of the family's 1533-position model. The record is from RNAcentral.
GACGAACGCUGGCGGCGUGCUUAACACAUGCAAGUCGAACGGAAAGGCCCUGCUUUUGUGGGGUGCGCGAGUGGCGAACGGGGGAGUAACACGUGAGUAACCUGCCCUUGACUUUGGGAUAACUUCAGGAAACUGGGGCUAAUACCGGCUAGGAGCUCCUGCUGCAUGGUGGGGGUUGGAAAGUUUCGGCGGUUGGGGAUGGACUCGCCGCUUAUCGGCUUGUUGGUGGGGUAGUGGCUUACCAAGGCUUUGACGGGUAGCCGGCCUGAGAGGGUGACCGGCCACAUUGGGCCUGCGCUACGGCCCAGACUCCUACGGGACGCAGCAGUGGGGAAUAUUGCACAAUGGGCGGAAGCCUGAUGCAGCAACGCCGCGUGCGGGAUGACGGCCUUCGGGUUGUAAACCGCUUUCGCCUGUGACGAAGCGUGAGUGACGGUAAUGGGUAAAGAAGCACCGGCUAACUACGUG